AUUGAACGCUGGCGGCAGGCUUAACACAUGCAAGUCGAACGAGUGGCGGACGGGUGAGUAAUGCUUGGGAAUCUAGCUUAUGGAGGGGGAUAACUACGGGAAACUGUAGCUAAUACCGCGUACCAUAGGAUGAGCCCAAGUGGGUUUAGGUAGUUGGUGAGGUAAAGGCUCACCAUGCCGAAGAGCUCUAGCUGGUCUGAGAGGAUGACCGUCCAGCCGGGGACUGCGACACGGCCCAGACUCCUACGGGAGGCAGCAGUGGGGAAUAUUGCACAAUGGGCGCAAGCCUGAUGCAGCCAUGCCGCGUGUGUGAAGAAGGCCUGCGGGUUGUAAAGCACUUGCAGCGAGGAGGCGUUACUCACAGAAGAAGCACCGGCUAACUCCGUGCCAGCCGCCGCGGUAAUUC
This 406-nucleotide ribosomal RNA is filed under the name uncultured bacterium. RNAcentral describes it as "partial 16S ribosomal RNA". It matches the Rfam family "Bacterial small subunit ribosomal RNA", at positions 30 to 526 of the family's 1533-position model. The record is from RNAcentral.